This 202-nucleotide non-coding RNA is filed under the name Bacteroidetes bacterium oral taxon 272 str. F0290. RNAcentral also lists the same sequence under 1 other name. Lineage: Bacteria; Pseudomonadati; Bacteroidota. The record is from RNAcentral.
UCUAUAUUUGCCAUGUUUUGUUUCGCGAUUAUCCAACAGCGAUAGAACGAAUGAAAAGGGAAUCGGGUGAAAGUCCCGAACAGUCCCGCUGCUGUAAGCUCAUAUAAAGGUUGCUUCAUACUCAAGCCACUGUCCCGAUAAAGGACGGGAAGGCAAGCCAACCGGAGUAAGUCAGAAGACCUGCAAAACAAAAGUCAUGCUU